GACGAACGCUGGCGGCGUGCUUAACACAUGCAAGUCGAACGGAAAGGCCCUGCUGUUGUGGGGUGCUCGAGUGGCGAACGGGUGAGUAACACGUGAGUAACCUGCCCUUGACUUUGGGAUAACUUCAGGAAACUGGGGCUAAUACCGGAUAGGAGCUCCUGCUGCAUGGUGGGGGUUGGAAAGUUUCGGCGGUUGGAGAUGGACUGGCGGCUUAUCAGCUUGUUGGUGGGGUAGUGGCUUACCAAGGCUUUGACGGGUAGCCGGCCUGAGAGGGUGGCCGGCCACCUUGGGACUGAGAUACGGACCAGACUCCUACGGGAGGCAGCAGUGGGGAAUAUUGCACAAUGGGCCGAAGCCUGAUGCAGCAACGCCGCGUUCGGGAUGACGGCCUUCGGGUUGUAAACCGCUUUCGCCUGUGACGAAGCGUGAGUGACGGUAAUGGGUAAAGAAGCACCGGCUAACUACGUG
This 468-nucleotide ribosomal RNA is filed under the name uncultured bacterium. Its description in RNAcentral is "partial 16S ribosomal RNA". It matches the Rfam family "Bacterial small subunit ribosomal RNA", at positions 28 to 507 of the family's 1533-position model. The record is from RNAcentral.